RNAcentral lists this ribosomal RNA (447 nucleotides) under uncultured bacterium. RNAcentral describes it as "SSU rRNA". It matches the Rfam family "Bacterial small subunit ribosomal RNA", at positions 26 to 518 of the family's 1533-position model. The record is from RNAcentral.
AGAGCGAACGCUGGCGGCAGGCCUAAUACAUGCAAGUCGAGCGGUCGUAGCAAUACGGCAGCGGCAGACGGGAGAGUAACACGUGGGAACGUACCUUUUGGUUCGGAACAACCCAGGGAAACUUGGGCUAAUACCGGAUAAGCCCUUACGGGGAAAGAUUUAUCGCCGAAAGAUCGGCCCGCGUCUGAUUAGCUAGUUGGUGAGGUAAUGGCUCACCAAGGCGACGAUCAGUAGCUGGUCUGAGAGGAUGAUCAGCCACAUUGGGACUGAGACACGGCCCAAACUCCUACGGGAGGCAGCAGUGGGGAAUAUUGGACAAUGGGCGCAAGCCUGAUCCAGCCAUGCCGCGUGAGUGAUGAAGGCCCUAGGGUUGUAAAGCUCUUUUGUGCGGGAAGAUAAUGACGGUACCGCAAGAAUAAGCCCGGCUAACUUCGUGCCAGCAGCCGC